This is a long non-coding RNA of Thalassophryne amazonica, 177 nucleotides long. RefSeq lists it as uncharacterized. NCBI's taxonomy places the organism in Eukaryota, Metazoa, Chordata, Actinopteri, Batrachoidiformes, Batrachoididae. The record is from RefSeq and is a predicted model, not a curated record. The transcript has 4 exons.
CAUAUAAUUUUACUUAAAAUGUAAAAACUUAAAUAUCUUAGAAACAGUAGCCAACCAGUCAUUUUUAUUGUCAUAUUUGAAUUCAACAUGUCAAAAUUCAUCGUAAAUAGCACAUUAUAUUUCUGAAGCAGACAACUUCUUAAAAUUUGUACACCAGUGUAAUGCCUUUCUUUCGGU